RNAcentral lists this ribosomal RNA (777 nucleotides) under uncultured bacterium. RNAcentral describes it as "bacterial SSU rRNA". It matches the Rfam family "Bacterial small subunit ribosomal RNA", at positions 87 to 864 of the family's 1533-position model. The record is from RNAcentral.
GGUGGCGAGUGGCGAACGGGUGAGUAACAUAUCGGAACGUACCGAGCAGUGGGGGAUAACUAAUCGAAAGAUUAGCUAAUACCGCAUAUCUUCUGAGGAAGAGAGCAGGGGACCAUUUGGCCUUGCGCUGUUUGAGCGGCCGAUAUCUGAUUAGCUAGUUGGUGGGGUAAAGGCCUACCAAGGCGACGAUCAGUAGCGGGUCUGAGAGGAUGAUCCGCCACACUGGGACUGAGACACGGCCCAGACUCCUACGGGAGGCAGCAGUGGGGAAUUUUGGACAAUGGGCGCAAGCCUGAUCCAGCCAUGCCGCGUGUCUGAAGAAGGCCUUCGGGUUGUAAAGGACUUUUGUCAGGGAAGAAAAGGGCGGGGUUAAUACCCCUGUCUGAUGACGGUACCUGAAGAAUAAGCACCGGCUAACUACGUGCCAGCAGCCGCGGUAAUACGUAGGGUGCGAGCGUUAAUCGGAAUUACUGGGCGUAAAGCGGGCGCAGACGGUUACUUAAGCAGGAUGUGAAAUCCCCGGGCUCAACCUGGGAACUGCGUUCUGAACUGGGUGACUAGAGUGUGUCAGAAGGAGGUAGAAUUCCACGUGUAGCAGUGAAAUGCGUAAAGAUGUGGAGGAAUACCGAUGGCGAAAGCAGCCUCCUGGGGAUAACACUGACGUUCAUGCCCCAAAGCGUGGGUAGCAAACANGAUUAAAUACCCUGGUAGUCCACGCUGUAAACGAUGGAUACUAGCUGUUUGGAGCAAUCUUGAUGGCUAAACCAAAGUGAUAAG